This 253-nucleotide ribosomal RNA is filed under the name uncultured bacterium. Its description in RNAcentral is "partial 16S ribosomal RNA". It matches the Rfam family "Bacterial small subunit ribosomal RNA", at positions 524 to 776 of the family's 1533-position model. The record is from RNAcentral.
UACGUAGGGUGCAAGCGUUGUCCGGAAUUAUUGGGCGUAAAGAGCUCGUAGGCGGUCUGUCGCGUCGGCUGUGAAAACCUGAGGCUCAACCUCAGGCCUGCAGUCGAUACGGGCAGACUAGAGUUCGGUAGGGGAGACUGGAAUUCCUGGUGUAGCGGUGAAAUGCGCAGAUAUCAGGAGGAACACCGGUGGCGAAGGCGGGUCUCUGGGCCGAAACUGACGCUGAGGAGCGAAAGCGUGGGGAGCAAACAGG